This 502-nucleotide ribosomal RNA is filed under the name uncultured bacterium. RNAcentral's name for it is "bacterial SSU rRNA". It matches the Rfam family "Bacterial small subunit ribosomal RNA", at positions 28 to 513 of the family's 1533-position model. The record is from RNAcentral.
GACGAACGCUGGCGGCGUGGAUUAGGCAUGCAAGUCGGACGGUAGGGCUUUAUCGUAAGAUAGAGUUUGAGAGUGGCGAACGGGUGAGUAACACGUAGGAAUCUACCCUUAAGACGGGGACAACCCAGGGAAACUUGGGCUAAUACCGGAUGAGAGUGCGAGAGAUUGCAUUUAAAAGGAUGGCGAAAGUUGUCGCUUAGGGAUGAGCCUGCGGUCUAUUAGUUAGUUGGUGAGGUAAGAGCUCACCAAGGCGAUGAUAGAUAGGCGGCCUUAACGGGUGGUCGCCCACACUGGGAUUGAGAUACGGCCCAGACUCCUACGGGAGGCAGCAGUCGAGAAUAGUCUACAAUGGCCGGAAGACUGAUAGUGCGACGCCGCGUGAACGAUGAAUCCCUUCGGGGUGUAAAGUUCUUUUAUAUGUGAGCAGUGCUUCUUAAUAUUAACAGUAAUGGGGAGAGAGAUAUUAGCAUAUGAAUAAGCAACGGCUAACUCCGUGCCAGCA